CUGAACUCAGUAGUGUGUCGAU
This 22-nucleotide non-coding RNA is filed under the name Arabidopsis thaliana (thale cress). Lineage: Eukaryota; Viridiplantae; Streptophyta; Magnoliopsida; Brassicales; Brassicaceae. The record is from RNAcentral.